This 2918-nucleotide ribosomal RNA is filed under the name Clostridium botulinum B str. Eklund 17B (NRP). Its description in RNAcentral is "bacterial LSU rRNA". It matches the Rfam family "Bacterial large subunit ribosomal RNA". Lineage: Bacteria; Bacillati; Bacillota; Clostridia; Eubacteriales; Clostridiaceae. The record is from RNAcentral.
GGUCAAGCUACAAAGGGCGCAUGGUGAAUGCCUUGGCAUCAGGAGCCGAUGAAGGACGCGAUAAGCUGCGAUAAGCUUCGGGUAGACGCACAUAGUCAGAGAUCCGAAGAUUUCCGAAUGAGGAAACUCACAUGGGAAACCCCAUGUAUCGUAAAGUGAAUACAUAGCUUUAUGAAGGUAAACCCAGGGAACUGAAACAUCUAAGUACCUGGAGGAAGAGAAAGAAAAAUCGAUUUUCUUAGUAGCGGCGAGCGAAAGGGAAAGAGCCCAAACCAAAGAUUUAUCUUUGGGGUUGCGGACAGAACAUUAACGAGAAAUUAUGGUUAACCGAACACAACUGGAAAGUUGGACCGUAGGGGGUAAUAGUCCUGUAGGUGAAAAUUAUAAUUAUCAAGUUCUGAUCCAGAGUACCACGAGACACGUGAAACCUUGUGGGAAGCAGGGAGGACCACCUCCCAAGGCUAAAUACUACCUGAUGACCGAUAGUGAAGCAGUACCGUGAGGGAAAGGUGAAAAGAACCCCGGGAGGGGAGUGAAAUAGAACCUGAAACCAUGUGCCUACAACCGAUCAAAGCACCUUAUGUGUGUGAUGAUGUGCUUUUUGUAGAACGAGCCAACGAGUUACGGUAUGUAGCAAGGUUAAGUACUUAAGGUACGGAGCCGAAGGGAAACCGAGUCUUAAUAGGGCGACUAGUUGCAUGCUGUAGACCCGAAACCGGGUGACCUAUCCAUGGCCAGGUUGAAGCGAGGGUAAAACCUCGUGGAGGACCGAACCACGUUGCUGUUGAAAAAGCAUGGGAUGAGCUGUGGAUAGCGGAGAAAUUCCAAUCGAACUCGGAUAUAGCUGGUUCUCCUCGAAAUAGCUUUAGGGCUAGCGUCGGAAAAUGUGAGUACUGGGGGUAGAGCACUGAAUGGGCUAGGGGGCAUAGCGCUUACCGAACCUUAUCAAACUCCGAAUACCAGAUACUAUCAGUCCGGCAGUCAGACUGCGAAAGAUAAGUUCCGUAGUCAAAAGGGAAACAGCCCAGAUCGUCAGCUAAGGUCCCAAAGUGUAAGUUAAGUGGAAAAGGAUGUGGGAUUUCUAAGACAACUAGGAUGUUGGCUUAGAAGCAGCCACUCAUUAAAAGAGUGCGUAAUAGCUCACUAGUCAAGAGAUCCUGCGCCGAAAAUGUCCGGGGCUCAAACUUACCACCGAAGCUACGGGUUCACACAUUAGUGUGAGCGGUAGAGGAGCGUCGUAAUCGGGCUGAAGUCGUACCGUAAGGAGCGGUGGACUGAUUACGAGUGAGAAUGUUGGCAUUAGUAGCGAGAUGUGGGUGAGAAUCCCACAGGCCGAAUACCUAAGGUUUCCUCAGGAAGGUUCGUCCGCUGAGGGUUAGUCGGGACCUAAGCUGAGGCCGAAAGGCGUAAGCGAUGGACAAUCGGUUGAUAUUCCGAUACCACUAUUAUCGUUAUUAUCGAUGGUGUGACGGAGAAGGAUAGGAUGUGCUAGCUAUUGGAUGCUAGUCUAAGCGUUUAGGGAGUUAGAAUAGGCAAAUCCGUUCUAACAAUUCUGAGGCGUGAUGGGGAAGGUUCCAAGGAACCGAAGUAUCUGAUUCCAUGCUUCCAAGAAAAGCAUCUAGAAAGAGAAAUAGUGCCCGUACCGCAAACCGACACAGGUAGGUGAGGAGAGAAUCCUAAGGCCGGCGGAAGAAUUGCAGUUAAGGAACUAGGCAAAUUGACCCCGUAACUUCGGGAGAAGGGGUGCCUGCGAGAGCAGGCCGCAGAGAAUAGGCACAAGCAACUGUUUAACAAAAACACAGGUCUCUGCUAAAGCGAAAGCUGAUGUAUAGGGGCUGACGCCUGCCCGGUGCUGGAAGGUUAAGGGGAACACUUAGUGUAAGCGAAGGUGUGAACUUAAGCCCCAGUAAACGGCGGCCGUAACUAUAACGGUCCUAAGGUAGCGAAAUUCCUUGUCAGGUAAGUUCUGACCCGCACGAAUGGCGUAAUGACUUGUGCACUGUCUCAACUGCAAAUCCGGCGAAGUUGUAGUGCGAGUGAAGAUGCUCGCUACCCGCGAUUGGACGGAAAGACCCCGUAGAGCUUUACUGUAGCUUAGCAUUGAAUUUCGGUAUUGUCUGUACAGGAUAGGUGGGAGACUGGGAAAUCAGAGCGUCAGCUUUGAUGGAGUCAUCCUUGGGAUACCACCCUGAUAGUACUGGAAUUCUAACUGGAUGCCAUGAAUCUGGUGACAGGACAUUGUUAGGUGGGCAGUUUGACUGGGGCGGUCGCCUCCUAAAAAGUAACGGAGGCGCCCAAAGGUUCCCUCAGAACGGUCGGAAAUCGUUCGUAGAGUGCAAAGGCAUAAGGGAGCCUGACUGCGAGACCUACAAGUCGAGCAGGGACGAAAGUCGGGCUUAGUGAUCCGGUGGUACCUCGUGGGAGGGCCAUCGCUCAACGGAUAAAAGCUACCUCGGGGAUAACAGGCUGAUCUCCCCCAAGAGUUCACAUCGACGGGGAGGUUUGGCACCUCGAUGUCGGCUCGUCGCAUCCUGGGGCUGAAGUAGGUCCCAAGGGUUGGGCUGUUCGCCCAUUAAAGCGGCACGCGAGCUGGGUUCAGAACGUCGUGAGACAGUUCGGUCCCUAUCCGUCGCGGGCGCAGGAAAUUUGAGAAGAGCUGUCCUUAGUACGAGAGGACCGGGAUGGACCGACCUAUGGUGUACCAGUUGUUUCGCCAGAAGCAUAGCUGGGUAGCUAAGUCGGGACGGGAUAAACGCUGAAAGCAUCUAAGCGUGAAGCCUCCUUCAAGAUGAGAUUUCCCAUAGCGUAAGCUAGUAAGACCCCUUGAAGACUACAAGGUUGAUAGGUCAGAGGUGUAAGUGUGGCAACAUAUUUAGCUGACUGAUACUAAUAGGUCGAGGGCUUGACCAAUAAAUAAU